GUGCUGUCUUGAAGCACUUGUACUAACUCUGAAUGGCACAGAGAAGAUUGACAUGGUCCCACACAUGGGAGACAUCCAAACCAGAGAUGCAUCCCAUAUUUUA
Molecule: small nuclear RNA, 103 nt
Filed under: Mesocricetus auratus (golden hamster)
Lineage: Eukaryota; Metazoa; Chordata; Mammalia; Rodentia; Cricetidae
Source: RNAcentral